RNAcentral lists this transfer RNA (66 nucleotides) under Leucochrysa pretiosa. RNAcentral describes it as "tRNA-Glu". The record is from RNAcentral. Lineage: Eukaryota; Metazoa; Arthropoda; Insecta; Neuroptera; Chrysopidae.
AUUUAUAUAGUUUAAAAAAAACAUUACAUUUUCAAUGUAAAAUUAAAAUUUUUAUUUUUUUAAAUA